Molecule: long non-coding RNA, 832 nt
Organism: Sitophilus oryzae (rice weevil)
Lineage: Eukaryota; Metazoa; Arthropoda; Insecta; Coleoptera; Curculionidae
Exons: 3
Source: RefSeq, a predicted model, not a curated record
CCGAUGCCUAUUUAAACGAAAUGCCGGUUCCUGAUCGAUCAUCGAAGUUAAGCGACAUUACAUAGUGUGAGUGUUUGGAGGGGUAAACGACUAGAAUUCUUCGUCCCGCAGUUGUUGCAAGUAAGCAAAUCUUCUGAAACAACUGGAAGACUACUAAUAUCGAUAAAACAACAUUGGAGUACCGGAAGCCUAGAGAUCACUGGACAAAUUAUUGAAGGCUCAACACUUGGUCAAAUAAUAAAGUUCCCUAAAAUUCAAAUCUAUGGAAGUCCAAACCGAACUCUGAAGAAGACUACUGACUAAGAAGACUGGCGAUACUCAAGGUAUAUUAGCCCCAAAAUAGUUAGUUUUAACGUCAAUAGCUGCCCAUAGACUAUAUACUAAAACAUUUUUCCAUUUUCCCAAUUUUUGUUAACCGUGAUAUUCUUACAGAAACAAAAGCAUAAAUAUAUAUAUAAUCUUCAAUAUCGCCUAAAUUAUUCUCUUAAAAACAUUAUUGCAUCGAUAUUCAUUUUAAAACCUAUUUUAUAUAAUAUACACAUGGUCAACAAUUCGUAUAUAUCAAUUCAAUGGACAACGAAACGAUCGCUAGGACGUAGGCACGGUCAAUAUGGUGGACAGUUUGAGCAAAACUAGUGGGUUUCGGAUGAAUUAUGUUAACGGGGGGAGGUUCGACGAAUUCGUCGAAGUCUUCGACGUCGGUGAAUAUCAGCGAGGACGGAAUCCAUCGUAGUCUUUGUUAGAGGAAAAGCAGCAUGCGAAAUGUAAAUAGGUUAGUACGAUAAGCUAGACAAGAACUCCAGAAGUAUACCAAUUAAUGUGAAAACAGUUA